RNAcentral lists this ribosomal RNA (350 nucleotides) under Nematoda environmental sample. RNAcentral's name for it is "SSU rRNA". It matches the Rfam family "Eukaryotic small subunit ribosomal RNA", at positions 592 to 945 of the family's 1831-position model. The record is from RNAcentral. Lineage: Eukaryota; Metazoa; Nematoda.
CAAUAGCGUAUAUUAAAGUUGUUGCGGUUAAAACGCUCGUAGUUGGAUCUGCGGCCGAGGAGAACGGUCCCCCGAAAGGGCGGUCACUGUCUCUCCUAGCCUAAAUUCGAGUCGUCUCUAGGUGCCCUUUACUGGGUGCCUAGAGUGACUAGAACGUUUACUUUGAAAAAAUUAGAGUGCUUAAAGCAGGCGAAAUAGCCUGAAUAAGGUGCAUGGAAUAAUGGAAUAGGACCUCGGUUCUAUUUUGUUGGUUUUCGGAACCUGAGGUAAUGAUUAAGAGGAACAGACGGGGGCAUUCGUAUUCCGGCGCUAGAGGUGAAAUUCUUGGACCGCCGGAAGACGGACAACUG